AUUGAACGCUGGCGGAAUGCUUUACACAUGCAAGUCGAACGGCAGCACGGGGGCAACCCUGGUGGCGAGUGGCGAACGGGUGAGUAAUACAUCGGAACGUACCCUGUAGUGGGGGAUAACUAUCCGAAAGGAUAGCUAAUACCGCAUACGACCUGAGGGUGAAAGGGGGGGAUCGCAAGACCUCUCGCUAUAGGAGCGGCCGAUGUCCGAUUAGCUAGUUGGUGGGGUAAAGGCCUACCAAGGCGACGAUCGGUAGCUGGUCUGAGAGGAUGAUCAGCCACACUGGGACUGAGACACGGCCCAGACUCCUACGGGAGGCAGCAGUGGGGAAUUUUGGACAAUGGGGGCAACCCUGAUCCAGCCAUUCCGCGUGAGUGAAGAAGGCUUUCGGGUUGUAAAGCUCUUUCGGCAGGAACGAAACGGUCCUUACUAAUACUAGGGGCUAAUGACGGUACCUGAAGAAGAAGCACCGGCUAACUACGUGCCAGCCGCCGCGGUAA
This 500-nucleotide ribosomal RNA is filed under the name uncultured bacterium. Its description in RNAcentral is "partial 16S ribosomal RNA". It matches the Rfam family "Bacterial small subunit ribosomal RNA", at positions 30 to 523 of the family's 1533-position model. The record is from RNAcentral.